Molecule: ribosomal RNA, 159 nt
Filed under: Mycoblastus sanguinarius
Lineage: Eukaryota; Fungi; Ascomycota; Lecanoromycetes; Lecanorales; Mycoblastaceae
Description: 5.8S ribosomal RNA
Rfam family: 5.8S ribosomal RNA
About the family: 5.8S ribosomal RNA (5.8S rRNA) is a component of the large subunit of the eukaryotic ribosome.
Source: RNAcentral
AAAACUUUCAACAACGGAUCUCUUGGUUCCAGCAUCGAUGAAGAACGCAGCGAAAUGCGAUAAGUAAUGUGAAUUGCAGAAUUCAGUGAAUCAUCGAAUCUUUGAACGCACAUUGCGCCCCCUGGUAUUCCGGGGGGCAUGCCUGUUCGAGCGUCAUUG